This 73-nucleotide transfer RNA is filed under the name Melanorivulus pictus. Its description in RNAcentral is "tRNA-Trp". It matches the Rfam family "tRNA". From Rfam's summary of the family: Transfer RNA (tRNA) molecules are approximately 80 nucleotides in length. Their secondary structure includes four short double-helical elements and three loops (D, anti-codon, and T loops). The record is from RNAcentral. Lineage: Eukaryota; Metazoa; Chordata; Actinopteri; Cyprinodontiformes; Rivulidae.
AGAGAUUUAGGUUAGUAUUGUAGACCAAGAGCCUUCAAAGCCCUAAGCAAAAGUGAAAAUCUUUUAAUCUCUG